This 492-nucleotide ribosomal RNA is filed under the name uncultured bacterium. RNAcentral describes it as "partial 16S ribosomal RNA". It matches the Rfam family "Bacterial small subunit ribosomal RNA", at positions 29 to 507 of the family's 1533-position model. The record is from RNAcentral.
AGUGAACGCUGGCGGUAGGCCUAACACAUGCAAGUCGAACGGCAGCACAGUAAGAGCUUGCUCUUACGGGUGGCGAGUGGCGGACGGGCGAGGAAUACAUCGGAAUCUACUUUUUCGUGGGGGAUAACGUAGGGAAUCUUACGCUAAUACCGCAUACGACCUACGGGUGAAAGCAGGGGAUCUUCGGACCUUGCGCGAUUGAAUGAGCCGAUGUCGGAUUAGCUAGUUGGCGGGGUAAAGGCCCACCAAGGCGACGAUCCGUAGCUGGUCUGAGAGGAUGAUCAGCCACACUGGAACUGAGACACGGUCCAGACUCCUACGGGAGGCAGCAGUGGGGAAUAUUGGACAAUGGGCGCAAGCCUGAUCCAGCCAUACCGCGUGGGUGAAGAAGGCCUUCGGGUUGUAAAGCCCUUUUGUUGGGAAAGAAAAGCAGCAGGUUAAUACCCCGCUGUUCUGACGGUACCCAAAGAAUAAGCACCGGCUAACUUCGUG